AUGGAGCUGGGUGAUGGGGGAAGGAAGGAGGAGGGUGGAAGAAGGACUAUGCGUAGCAGCAGCGGCGACGGCGAUGACGACAGGCAGCGCCCCUACGACGGCGAGGACGACGACGAGGGGACGAGGCAGCCGUACAAGUGCGCGUUCUGCAGGAGGGGGUUCCCCACGGCGCAGGCGCUCGGCGGGCACAUGAACGUGCACCGGAAGGACCGGCCGGCCACUAAGGCGGCGCCAAGGGGCGCCGGCGUCUGCGGUCAGGAGUCGCCGGCGGUCAUCGACGCGCUCCUGGCGUACGGAGUGCUGGCUCAUCCGGAGGUGAGCGGCGCCGCUGGAGGGAGCUCCAGGAUCCGUGCCCAGCGGCCGCCGCGGGAGCUCCGGCUGUUCGGCCAUGUCGACGACGCCGGUCGUGGCAAGGAAGAUCAAGGUUGGGGCGCCAGAGAUCGAGGAGGGUGCCACGAAGCCAAGGAUGAUGCUGGCGAUCACGGCGAACAAGAGGAGGAGGAGGAGUUGGAUUUGGAGCUGAGACUCGGUGCUGCGGUACGAUGCAUUAUGUUUGGAUGGGUGGUGGCAAUUUGGGGUGUGGCAGUUGAAGGACAAGGAAGGAUGGUUUAUGGCAAUCCAGAAUUUUAG
This 630-nucleotide ribosomal RNA is filed under the name Triticum aestivum (bread wheat). RNAcentral describes it as "partial small subunit ribosomal RNA". The record is from RNAcentral. Lineage: Eukaryota; Viridiplantae; Streptophyta; Magnoliopsida; Poales; Poaceae.